GAUGAAGAACGUAGCGAAAUGCGAUAAGUAAUGUGAAUUGCAGAAUUCAGUGAAUCAUCGAAUCUUUGAACGCACUUUGCGCCCGCCAGCACUCUGGCGGGCAUGCCUGUUCGAGCGUCAUUUCAACCAUCAAGCCCCCAGGGGCUUGUGCUGGGGCCCUGCGGCUGCCCGCAGGCCCUGAAAACCAGUGGCGGGCUCGCUAGUCACACCGAGCGCAGUAGCACAUCUCGCUCAGGGCGUGCGGCGGGCUCCUGCCGUGAAACCCCCCACUGUAACCCCAAAGGUUGACCUCGGAUCAGGUAGGAAUACCCGCUGAACUUAAGCAUAUCAAUAAGCGGAGGA
Molecule: unclassified non-coding RNA, 342 nt
Filed under: soil metagenome
Description: partial contains 5.8S ribosomal RNA, internal transcribed spacer 2, and large subunit ribosomal RNA
Rfam family: 5.8S ribosomal RNA (bases 1-120)
Source: RNAcentral